Molecule: ribosomal RNA, 377 nt
Filed under: uncultured soil bacterium
Lineage: Bacteria
Description: bacterial SSU rRNA
Rfam family: Bacterial small subunit ribosomal RNA
Source: RNAcentral
AGAAUGAACGUUGGCGGCGUGGAUUAGGCAUGCAAGUCGAGCGGACCCCGCAAGGGGUUAGCGGCGAAAGGGACAGUAAUGUGCAGAUACGUACCCUGGGGUUCGGGAUAGCCACGGGAAACUGUGGGUAAUACCGAAUAACAUCUCCGGAUCAAAGGUGUGAUUCCGCCUUGGAUCGGUCUGCAUCCUAUUAGCUUGUUGGUGAGGUAACGGCUCACCAAGGCCAUGAUCGGGUAGCGGGUGUGUAGAGCACCGACCCGCGUCAUUGGGACUGAGACACUGCCCAGACCACCGUACGGGUGGCGUGCAGUCGGAGGAUCUUACGGCAACGUGGGCGACAAGCCUCGACCGAGCGGACCGCCGGUCGUGGACGGGUA